AGAGUUUGAUCCUGGCUCAGGACGAACGCUGGCGGCGCGCCUAACACAUGCAAGUCGAACGGGACUAUACUGGAAGAAGUUUUCGGAUGGAUUUCGGUAUAGUUUAGUGGCGGACGGGUGAGUAACACGUGAGCAACCUGCCUUCGAGAGGGGAAUAACGGCUGGAAACGGUCGCUAAUACCGCAUAACAUACCGGGAGGACAUCCUGCUGGUAUCAAAGAUUUAUCGCUCGAAGAUGGGCUCGCGUCCGAUUAGGUAGUUGGUGAGGUAACGGCUCACCAAGCCGACGAUCGGUAGCCGGACUGAGAGGUUGAACGGCCACAUUGGGACUGAGACACGGCCCAGACUCCUACGGGAGGCAGCAGUGGGGGAUAUUGCACAAUGGGGGAAACCCUGAUGCAGCGACGCCGCGUGUGGGAAGACGGUCCUCUGGAUUGUAAACCACUGUCCCCAGGGACGAAGAUGACGGUACCUGGGGAGGAAGCUCCGGCUAACUACGUGCCAGCAGCCGCGGUAAUACGUAGGGAGCGAGCGUUGUCCGGAAUUACUGGGUGUAAAGGGAGCGUAGGCGGGGAUGCAAGUUGGGUGUCAAAACUACCGGCUCAACUGGUAGUCGCACUCAAAACUGCAACUCUUGAGUGAAGUAGAGGCAGGCGGAAUUCCUAGUGUAGCGGUGAAAUGCGUAGAUAUUAGGAGGAACACCAGUGGCGAAGGCGGCCUGCUGGGCUUUUACUGACGCUGAGGCUCGAAAGUGUGGGGAGCAAACAGGAUUAGAUACCCUGGUAGUCCACACCGUAAACGAUGAUUACUAGGUGUGGGGGGUCUGACCCCUUCCGUGCCGGAGUUAACACAAUAAGUAAUCCACCUGGGGAGUACGGCCGCAAGGUUGAAACUCAAAGGAAUUGACGGGGGCCCGCACAAGCAGUGGAGUAUGUGGUUUAAUUCGAAGCAACGCGAAGAACCUUACCAGGGCUUGACAUCCUACUAACGAACCAGAGAUGGAUUAGGUGCCCUUCGGGGAAAGUAGAGACAGGUGGUGCAUGGUUGUCGUCAGCUCGUGUCGUGAGAUGUUGGGUUAAGU
RNAcentral lists this ribosomal RNA (1081 nucleotides) under Angelakisella massiliensis. RNAcentral describes it as "bacterial SSU rRNA". It matches the Rfam family "Bacterial small subunit ribosomal RNA", at positions 8 to 1085 of the family's 1533-position model. The record is from RNAcentral. Lineage: Bacteria; Bacillati; Bacillota; Clostridia; Eubacteriales; Oscillospiraceae.